This 377-nucleotide ribosomal RNA is filed under the name uncultured Ignavibacteria bacterium. RNAcentral describes it as "bacterial SSU rRNA". It matches the Rfam family "Bacterial small subunit ribosomal RNA", at positions 521 to 896 of the family's 1533-position model. Lineage: Bacteria; Pseudomonadati; Ignavibacteriota; Ignavibacteria. The record is from RNAcentral.
UAAUACGUAUGGUGCAAGCGUUAUUCGGAUUUAUUGGGCGUAAAGGGUCCGUAGGUGGUUUGUUAAGUCUGAUGUGAAAUCCUAUGGCUCAACCAUAGAACUGCAUUGGAAACUGACGAACUAGAGUAUUGGAGAGGUAAGUGGAAUUUCAGGUGUAGCGGUGGAAUGCGUAGAUAUCUGAAGGAACACCAAAAGCGAAGGCAGCUUACUGGACAAUCACUGACACUGAGGGACGAAGGCGUGGGUAGCGAAAAGGAUUAGAUACCCUUGUAGUCCACGCAGUAAACGUUGUGUACUAGUUGUGGGGGGAAUUAGCCCCCUCCGUGACUGAGCUAACGCAUUAAGUACACCGCCUGGGGACUACGGCCGCAAGGCUA